Molecule: ribosomal RNA, 491 nt
Filed under: uncultured bacterium
Lineage: Bacteria
Description: partial 16S ribosomal RNA
Rfam family: Bacterial small subunit ribosomal RNA
Source: RNAcentral
GAUGAACGCUGGCUACAGGCUUAACACAUGCAAGUCGAGGGGAAACGACGGGGAAGCUUGCUUCCCCGGGCGUCGACCGGCGCACGGGUGAGUAACGCGUAUCCAACCUGCCUCUGACUGAGGGAUAACCCGUCGAAAGUCGGCCUAAUACCUCAUGGCAUCGUCUGCGGGCAUCCAACGACGAUUAAAGAUUUCAUCGGUCAGAGAUGGGGAUGCGUCUGAUUAGCUUGUUGGCGGGGUAACGGCCCACCAAGGCGACGAUCAGUAGGGGUUCUGAGAGGAAGGUCCCCCACAUUGGAACUGAGACACGGUCCAAACUCCUACGGGAGGCAGCAGUGAGGAAUAUUGGUCAAUGGGCGAGAGCCUGAACCAGCCAAGUAGCGUGCAGGAUGACGGCCCUAUGGGUGGUAAACUGCUUUUAUGCGGGGAUAAAGUGAGGGACGUGUCCUUCAUUGCAGGUACCGCAUGAAUAAGGACCGGCUAAUUCCGUG